Non-coding RNA from Rattus norvegicus (Norway rat), 4667 nucleotides. Lineage: Eukaryota; Metazoa; Chordata; Mammalia; Rodentia; Muridae. The record is from RefSeq and is a predicted model, not a curated record.
AGCCCUGUGUCUGUCUGGUCUCUCUUCUGCGCGUGUGAACAGUCCCACAGUCUUCACCCGCACUUCCUCUCAGUUUCCGUACUGCUUUUCUUUUGUCAGCACUUUGAUUCUCAGCUGACGUUUAGGGCUUUGAUCUUUUUUUUUUUUUUCAAACUUACAUGCCAGUUCUCUGAUUAUAGUGGUCUUGAAGUCAAAGAAAUGGAGUGGGCAGAGGGGAGGAGGGGAAGCCGCGUGUGCAGGCUCAGGCUCUCUGGCCAGAGCUGCCCCCCUGCAACCUCCGCUGGUUUGACCCAGGAACCCCGCGUGUGGCCUAGCUGGAGGAAUGUGGCUAAAGUCACCACGUGGGCUUGUCCUUGGGCUUCGGCUGAUCCCCUACACGUUUUCUGGUAGGAUGCCCCUUCAAGGUUCCCUUUCCACCAUCUUCCUGCUCCUCUACACAUCCACCUGCUCACAUCACCCCUGACUCCCAGGAAGUCUUUCAGAAGUCUUUGUCUCAUUUUGCCAGGCGGGAGGAAGGGGAAAGCCUGCUGCUGAUGCCUACGGUUCCACACAGUUAUUUAAUUACUUGCCUCUUUAAUGAUUUUGAUGGCAAUAUGUUAAUUACACAAAACAGUAGGUUUCAUUGGGAGAUUUUUCAUUCAAAGCACAUAUAGAGAAAUGUCCUUUGAUCCUAUUCAGUGCCCCUCCCCCAUUCCUAUGCGUCUUGGGGAGCCAAGAAAGGCUCGAGUGACUGUGAUCCGCCCUGAGAGAUGGGUAUCAUUGACCAGGGCAAAGCCUUCCUGUGGGAUGGACAUUAGGAGGGUAUACAAAACAACUGUAGUGAUCUGCUCUCAGAUCACUACUACUUCUCACUGGGAGAAGUCUGGCUGGUUCCUUGGACGACGGGUGCUUCCGUUUCGAGUAACCCCAUUCUAAUCUCCAUAGUGCCCCAUCUGGCUAUUGCCAGUCUCUCAUUACCUUGCACUCAGCUUUCUCAAUGCUAACCGUUUAGGUGGCACCCAGCCUGGGUCGAGUUGUGGAAGAGGUUGUAAGGAUCUGAGGGCAGGAGACCCAGUUUCUACCUGUGGACUUCAGCCAUUCAGUACUGCCGAACUCUGAGUUCACGUUUCAUUACUCUCCUUUCUGCCUAUGGAUUCUGCUUCAAGCCUGCACCAGUCUUAAUACACUGUAGGACCUCUUGUGACAGACGAGGCACACAUGACAUGUCCAAAAAAAUAUAUCUCAAAGUCACUUUCUGAAAUGACCCUUCUUUAGCUGAGAAAUAAGAAACAGUCUCCUUUUUACACAGUGGGUUCUGGAGGGUAGCUCCUCAGAACCGUCCCGUGAAGAUCUGAUGCUUUUGUUCUCCACAGAGGGCUCCCCUGACAGAUGGCCCCAGGUGAGAUUUCCACUCUCAGCUAAGUGUGCGGAAAGCAAAACCGAGUGUGAAGCCUCCAUUUUGCUGCUCAGCCAGGUUGUGGUUUCUGGCUUGAAAGCUGUGACUUCCUCAAUUGCAUGUGACUUCUCUGUGUGACACCUGCUGACUGUUACAGCGCUUUGGCCAAGAUGGGGGCCUGGUUUUUGGUCUAACCUUUGUUCACUAACUAAUGCACACUGCUGACUUCUUUCUGGUUAAGCUUGGGCCUGAUUGGGGAGAGCUCUUGGGGCAGCGUCUAGGAAUUUGGCGGGAAUUUGAUUUUGGGCUGGGACAAGGAAGUAGGCUCAAGAUCCUGAUCAUCUUGAUGAGCCCCUGAAUCCAGGACUUAUUUAUUGCCUUGACCUAGAACUAACCUUAUUUCUUUGCAUGUACUCAGAAUGAUAUAAAAGCAGACAGGAGAAAGAUAAACCCGCUUCCACCUCAGAACCUGCUGGGGUCAUGCUACAGUGUUAUUUAACUCUUUUUAUUUUAAUCCUUGCUCCUUCCCCGAAGAACCCAUAGACGGAUUGAGCUGGCUUGGUCACCUGGUUUUGGUGUUAGCCUUCCCUAUCUGUAGGUUCUGUACCUCAGCCUAAAAAGGAGACAUUUUUCUCUGUAUAGAGUUUAUAGUUUUUGUUUCCUCACAGUGAAGGGAUUAAAGUCCCUGUUCAUGCUCGAAAAGUACUGUACCCCUGAGCUAGACCCUCAGUGUGACACUGUAGAAUCUAAGCAUCACCUGUCAAUAAAAAAGCUGAUGGCCAAUGAGCUAAGGCAGGAAAUAGGAGGCAGGAUACUGGCAGGAAGAGAGGACUCUGGGAAACAGGAAGUGCCUGCACUCAUUCCUGGCCGAGUUAGCCUCUGGCUUUUCCUCGUCCGGUACCCACCUGCACCAGGUCCUUUAACUCACAAUUAGCGCUGUCUCCUUCCCCACCUCAGAGCUUCUCUGUACAUCUGUGGUCAUCAUAUGCAUGGAGACACAGGACAGAGUCAGGAUGCUUUUCUCUGCUCUUCUGCUGAUCAGCCGUGAUACCAGCAUCGCUUCAUCCACGGUUUCCUUAGCUCCGAAAUGUGCAGGUUGGACCAAGGAGUACAAUAUUCCUUUCCAAGACUCCAAGGAAAGCCCCGCCCCUCAUCAAGAGCCUCACUGCUCAUGAACACACGUUAGUUCAACUUCAGCCAUGUCUUUGUCGGGCUGCCUUUCUCCACAAGGUUGACUGCACACAGGUGAAAUGGCUUAUUCAGUUGCUGGAAACAAGUCCCCACCGCCAGCUGAUCCUUACACUGAAUGAUGGAUGGGGGCUGUUACCUUUCCUGUCACACGGCUCCUCCUCAGAGCCAGCCUGUGCUUUAUGGGUGGAAUAAACAGCUUACAUAUGUUCCGUUACUGGUUUGUCUAUCAAGCCCUUCUGGCCAUAGCGAAGGCCGAUUGGUGACAGAGCAGAGAAAGAACUCAGUGUAGGGUCCAAGGUCAGCGGCUGGACAGAGUAUGCACCAUGAUGGGUUCAUUGGAGGCCCUGCUAAUCCGUGCCAAAGGACAGAAGCUCAUGAAGCCUGCAGAAUGAUUGACUUGGCAGAACACUUCGGUCAUUGUGUGAAAUCUGGCCCCACCCCUUUCUUCAUAAGACCAAAGAUAGAGGCUUCCCAGUCCUGCAGUCAAAGUUCCGUGGGAAGUUCACCAAUGGCCUCUAAGGAUGCCUCCCACGGUUGGGCCCCAUCAUCUUGGCCCCACUCUGAGGAAGAGACAUUAGUUCCCAAAUGUGAGGAAAUUGGGCCUAAUUACGUUAAAUUUCACAAGGUGAUUUUUUUGUGUAGCAGAUUUCUCAGGAACUUAUUUUUUCAUGGUGUAUUGCAUAUUAAUUCUUUUGCUGUUAAUGUGACUGAGUAGCCCGGGCAAGGUUAGUUGUUUUUUUUUGUUUUUUGUUUUUUGUUUUUUGUUUUUUUUUUUUUUUUUUUUUUUUUUUUUUUUUCCGGAAGCUGGGGAAGGUUAGUUUUAUAAAGAAAAAAUGCUUACUUAGUUCGCAGUUCCACAGACUCAAUGGCAUGGUCCCGAUAUUGGCCCGGCAUCAGCCAAUGACAGAAGUACAAAGGAAGAGGGAGGGGGCAGGACGAAGACCGGAGGUGGGAAGAGAGAAGAGGGGAGAGAAUAACAUCUGAUGUCCCCCUCUCACCCCUGAGGGUGCACAUACGUGUAACAACAUAAACACGGGCAAAUGUUUAUAUGCAUAAGAUUUAAAAACAUUAAUUUUCAUUUAAUUAAUUUACUUCGCCAUUCAGGCCUUGACCCCUUGUAUUUAGCUGUAUCCUGGAGCUGGCGUGCUUCCCACUUUAUUACUGGGAUGCAUCAGCUUUCGCAAAUAGCAACCUUGACUGCACCUCAUAAAAUAUAUGAGCCUCUUGGGUACAGUAGGUCAUCCUGCACAAUGCGAGAGGAGAGCUUUAUCCGGUCACCUAUGGCGACACAUUGAUGUCACCAGAGGUGACAGUGAAAGUGAGGUAAGGAGCUCAGAGAAUCAAAUUCAGGAGCUACUCCCUGGAACGGAAACCACAGGCCACCACCACCCAUGCUGUCUCUGCUGAGAUCCUGCUGGUUCUCAUCACAAAGCUGUGGAUUUGCUAGGACUACAUGUAGAGGGUCUCCGGAGGACUAAAGUCCAUUAUGGCAGAAGCAUGGCCGGAGCAGGAAGCUAAGGAACCUUACUUCUACUGCAAGCAAGCUCAGGAAGCAGAGCGUGAACUGGAAGUGAGGCGGGGCUAUGCACUUUCAAACCCCACCCCCUUAUAUGACGCACUUCCUUCAGCAGGGCCGCGCCUUCUACCCCUAAAAUCUCCACCAAUCAGAGAACUGAGCCUGUGAGGGGCAUUUUCCACUCAAGCCAACACACCUACUGUGCAUCAGGCAUUUGCUAGAUGCUGAGGGACGCAAGAGAAGCAGGUGAGCAGCCCAUGCACUACUUCCGGUAGAGUGACCUGCGUCUGCGUGUACAGUGAGCAGGACUGCAGACAUGUGAGUGAGGUUUUCCAGGAACACCAGGAGUGACUCUCGAGGAAAUGGCAUUUCAAGGCUGGGUCACUAACCGCCACCUUUAUAUUAUGUUUAAGGAAUACUUAAUUAGACUGUAUUAAAAGUCAGGUGCCUGAGGUGUAAAAUUAUGUGGUCAGAGAGAAAGGAGGUAUCUUACACACUGUUGGGGAGAGUACGGACUGAUGCUAUCUCCAUGGAAAUUAGUAUGGGGUUUUUCAAAAGGGCUAAAAAUAAAACUGUUAUAUGACC